This is an RNA transcript of Onthophagus taurus, 437 nucleotides long. It is a transcript of the gene named Mediator complex subunit 1, with no coding region annotated. Lineage: Eukaryota; Metazoa; Arthropoda; Insecta; Coleoptera; Scarabaeidae. The record is from RefSeq and is a predicted model, not a curated record.
GCACCUAACUUCAUGGCAAAGCUAAAAUGACGUUGACACCAAAUAAGAAUCGUUCAUUUUCUCUUCAACACCGAUCAGAAUGUGCGCAAUUUUACGGAAUUUAUCCAAUUUAAACUUGGUUUAUCCAAAUGGUUGACGAUUUUCAACGAUUAAAAAACGAGAUUACUUUAAUUUGCAUCGUUUGGAUCGAUCUUCCAAAAUACAAAUUGCUUUUUCAAGAAACCUUCAAUAGGAGAAUUGAAUAAUAAGUUAGCAAGGUUUAGGAUGAAUUAAGAAAAUGAAACCAGACCAAGACAUUAGAAUAGAAAAAGGGAAGAAGUGGCACAUUUUGAAAGGCAAAGGAUGGAUGAGGGUACAUCAAAGAAGUUAAGUUUGAUUUGUCAUGUAUUAAACAGGAAAUUGUAAAUUAAUUGACAAUAAAAAACCGUUAAUAUUAA